CCCAACCGUUGCUGCUACCUUGACGCGGUGGUCGGGCUUGCCUAUCAUGAUGAGCCAAUCGAGCUAUACUGGCUGGAAACAUCGUCCCUCAAGGUCCUACCAUGGCCAGGCAGGUCGGGUGAAGAGCGGUAAGACUAAAAGCAGC
RNAcentral lists this non-coding RNA (145 nucleotides) under Schistosoma mansoni. The record is from RNAcentral. Lineage: Eukaryota; Metazoa; Platyhelminthes; Trematoda; Strigeidida; Schistosomatidae.